GACGAACGCUGGCGGCGUGCCUAAUACAUGCAAGUCGAACGCACAGUUUAUACCGUAGCUUGCUACACCAUAGACUGUGAGUUGCGAACGGGUGAGUAACGCGUAGGUAACCUGCCUGGUAGCGGGGGAUAACUAUUGGAAACGAUAGCUAAUACCGCAUAAUAUUAAUUAUUGCAUGAUAAUUAAUUGAAAGGUGCAAUUGCACCACUACCAGAUGGACCUGCGUUGUAUUAGCUAGUAGGUGAGGUAACGGCUCACCUAGGCGACGAUACAUAGCCGACCUGAGAGGGUGAUCGGCCACACUGGGACUGAGACACGGCCCAGACUCCUACGGGAGGCAGCAGUAGGGAAUCUUCGGCAAUGGACGAAAGUCUGACCGAGCAACGCCGCGUGAGUGAAGAAGGUUUUCGGAUCGUAAAGCUCUGUUGUAAGAGAAGAACGGGUGUGAGAGUGGAAAGUUCACACUGUGACGGUAUCUUACCAGAAAGAGGCGGCUAACUACGUG
RNAcentral lists this ribosomal RNA (505 nucleotides) under uncultured bacterium. Its description in RNAcentral is "partial 16S ribosomal RNA". It matches the Rfam family "Bacterial small subunit ribosomal RNA", at positions 28 to 507 of the family's 1533-position model. The record is from RNAcentral.